AUGCUGGUGACUCUCUGUGCUCUCAUCACUGCUCUAACAUGUGUGAGUGGUGUGACGGUGGUGACACAGAAACCUCCUGUUUUAUCAGUGAGGAAAGGAGAGACGGCCACCAUGGACUGUAACCUGGGGACUGUUACUAAUGCUGUUGCUGCCUGGCAUAAAAAGAUUCCAGGAGGAAGUCCUCAGCAUGUGCUGUAUUUUUAUCAUAGCUAUACUUCUCCAUACUAUGGCUCUGGGUUCUCCUCUUCAAAAUUCACAUCCACUCAUCAGUCAACAUCAGAUUAUCGUUUGAUCAUCAACAAUGUGGAGGAGGGAGACUCUGCAGUCUAUUACUGUCAGACAUGGGACGGCUCUGCUAGCAGUGGGGUAUCACAGUGA
Non-coding RNA from Oreochromis niloticus (Nile tilapia), 378 nucleotides. NCBI's taxonomy places the organism in Eukaryota, Metazoa, Chordata, Actinopteri, Cichliformes, Cichlidae. The record is from the annotation of a RefSeq genome assembly.